Long non-coding RNA from Cygnus olor (mute swan), 1565 nucleotides. RefSeq lists it as uncharacterized. The transcript is spliced from 3 exons. The record is from RefSeq and is a predicted model, not a curated record. Lineage: Eukaryota; Metazoa; Chordata; Aves; Anseriformes; Anatidae.
CUUUCUUUGCUUCCUGGGCUUUACAAACCUUGGAAUUUUUUCUUUCUCUACAGUAGAUAACAGACACUAACAGAAGCCACCAGAUACAUCCCCAUUUCAGUUACUUACGAGGGGAGUAUGGCUGCAAGGAUGCACACAGCUGUGACUUUGCAUUUGAAGAGUUACUGCUGUGCCUGGGAUGCAGAAAGAAAUGUAGUAUCUCCGAACCAUUCAAAUCAGGAGAUUCUUAAUGUACACCACUGGUGCCUUCUAUGGGAUUUUGUGGCAGAGUAUUGGUGAGGAGGGCAAUCUUGACCAAGCCUUAGACAGUGUGGUCAAAGAUCUGACCAGAAGACAUUUAUCCCUCCGAGGGAAGGUCUUAUGCAGAGCCUCCAGCAGAAAACAGCUUCACCAUGCUGCAGGACACAUGACCAACAGCCUGUCUUCUUGGAGCUGCCAGAUGCUCACAAGGAGAAUGGCUGGCAUGGACAACCAGCAACAGGCAUGGUCACGCUGCUUCCUGUUGGCCCCUGCCAUGGCAAAGGGAGAGCAAGUUCACCAAGGCUUCAUCAGGUGGUUUCAUUUGUUCUCAAGGGGGAGUUUUUAUUAGCCUUCUGCUAGAAGCGUUGUGUUGAUUGGAUAAAUACUCUCAGGUCUAAUUGUCUGUGAGAAAUUAGAGAACAAAAAGGAAGAGGUGGCUUCUGAAAGCCAACUUGGCCUUGUACUGUCAACUAGCUCAUUUAGGGAAUGAUUAAAAAGGAGGGGGGGAAGGAGGAAUGUAGGAGUAGGAGGAGAGUGUGUUGGAGAUGCUGUGAGCACUGCUCCCAGCCGCCUGUCGCGAGUGUGAGAAGGCGCAGGUAGCUCUCAGGAAUGAAGCCCUGCAGGUCUGUGGCAAUGACAUAUCCCUCUGCUGAGGACGAGAAGAUAGUUCUGACACAACUCAACAUAUCGCUGUUUCUGACUAAGUCCAUUGUUGGAUUUAAUGAACAAGUAAGUGAUGUUUCAAACUGAUAAACACCCUGCAGCAAAUUUCCCAUUUUAUGUUGCAAUGAGUGAGCCAAGGAAGUUUGGGCAAGCUGUAAAGGGCCUUCAGUGUACGGUUUAAGUCUUUAUUCAAAGUGGAGGCGUUUCUCAGAGCUAGCAUGAAAGUUUCUCUCACCUCCACCCCCAAAAUGGAGAUAAAGUUUCCACAGACUAAGCAGUGUUAUCUCUAAAAACAAGACAGUGACUGCUACGAACAUUGCUGGUAGUUCAUUAUCACAGUGAGAUAUGCAUUAUGAAACAUAACAUCUGUUAACUAUUUCACUGCUAAUCCUUCUAGAUACCAAAUAUUUCAUUUGUGUGUCUAUCCUAUCCUGCAACAUGCAACUUCCUUCUUGACCACCAAAAGCUUGCCUGUCCCAUGCCCACCUGCUUACGCUUCCAGGCUUGAGACUUGGCAUCUUUUUGUGAUACAAUUCUGUGUUACCAAUAGGAGACCAUUUACUAUCCCCAAAACAGGAAAUGUGGGGCCAGUAUACAAGAAAAGAAGUUCAGUAUCAAAAUAAAUCUUUCCAGGGACUGCCCCAAAGCAGUGCAUUUUUUUU